RNA transcript from Ahaetulla prasina, 3501 nucleotides. It is a transcript of the gene named glutamate decarboxylase like 1, with no coding region annotated. The record is from RefSeq and is a predicted model, not a curated record. Lineage: Eukaryota; Metazoa; Chordata; Lepidosauria; Squamata; Colubridae. The transcript is spliced from 16 exons.
GCCAUUUGUCGAAAAGAGACAGCGCGGAGCUCCUGCACCAGCCAUCAGCGUGGCGCGUCGCUUAGAAGCGAGGGAGACGCUCCCGUUGAAUUGCAGCGCCAGCGGCGAAGGCGGGAUGGAGGAGGAGGAGGAGGCUGAAAUGAGUAACCAGCAGGAAAAGUCGCAGAAGAAAAAUGCAAUCUUAGUUGAUGGAGUUAUUUUAAAUGGCCCAGUAGCAGAUUCAAAAUCUGGCGAGAAAUUUGUGGAAGAGGUCAGUAAGAUAAUAAUGGAAGAAGUGGUAAAGAAAGCAUCUGAUGCAACUGAAAAGGUGUGUGAAUGGCAAUCUCCUGAACAACUGAGAACUCUUCUUGACUUGGAAUUGAAAGACACAGGAGAGAGUCAUCCCAAACUCUUGCAGUUAUGCCAAGAUGUUAUACAAUUCAGCGUCAAAACCUAUCACCCAAGAUUUUUUAAUCAGCUCUAUGCUGGUAUUGAUUAUUACUCUUUAGCAGCACGUUUCAUUACGGAGGCAUUAAACCCAAGUGUAUAUACCUAUGAAAUUUCUCCAGUAUUUUUACUAGUGGAAGAAGCAGUUCUAAAGAAAAUGAUUGAAUAUAUUGGAUGGGAAGUAGGAGAUGGUAUAUUUAAUCCAGGUGGCUCUGUUUCCAAUAUGUAUGCAAUGAACUUGGCAAGAUAUAAAUAUUUUCCUGACAUAAAAGAAAAAGGCCUUUCAGGGAUACCUCAGUUGGUUCUGUUUACAUCAGAAGAGUGUCACUACUCAGUGAAGAAGGCAGCUUCCUUUUUGGGAAUUGGCACACAAAAUGUUUACUUUGUCAAAAGUGAUGACAGAGGUAAAAUGAUUCCUGAGGAACUGGAGAAACAAGUCCAGCAGGCAAGGAAUGAGGGUUCUGCACCAUUUUUUGUCAGUGCUACAGCUGGUACCACCGUUUUGGGAGCAUUUGAUCCUUUGAAUGAAAUAGCUGACAUAUGUGAAAAACACAAUCUUUGGAUGCACGUUGAUGCAUCAUGGGGAGGCUCAGCUUUACUGUCAAGGAGGCACCGCAAGCUUCUUCAUGGCAUCCACAGAGCCACUUCUGUUGCAUGGAAUCCUCAUAAAAUGCUUAUGGCAGGAAUCCAGUGUUGUGCACUUCUGGUGAAAGAUAGUUCUGACUUGCUUAAGAGAUGCUACUCUGCCAAUGCUUCAUAUCUGUUCCAACAAGAUAAAUUUUAUGACAUCAGCUAUGACACAGGUGAUAAAUCCAUUCAGUGUAGCAGAAGAGCAGAUGCAUUUAAAUUCUGGAUGACAUGGAAAGCUCUGGGGACAACUGGACUUGAGGAGAGAGUAAACAGAGCCCUUGCUUUAGUCAGAUACUUAGUGGAUGAAAUUAAGAAGAGAGAAGGAUUUCAGUUGCUUCUGGAGCUUGAAUUCAGCUUGAUCAGAAUUGCUAUCCAACACAUCAGGGAUCAGAUUGGGAAAGCUGCUAUAAUGUGAAGAGUGGCCAGAAUAUGCAAAUAUUUGUUUCUGGUAUAUUCCACCUAGCCUGAGAAAGAUGGAGAAAGGACAUGAAUUCUGGGAAAAGCUCAGUUGUUGAUCGGUCUCAUUCGAGACAUUGAUGAAUCCGCAUACAGACGGGAGAUUGAACAACUAGUCUCAUGGUGCGACCGGAACAAUCUGGAACUGAACACACUCCAAACCAUCGAAAUGGUGGUAGACUUUAGGAGAAACCCUUCCAUACUUCCACUUCUCACAAUAUUAGACAACAUAGUAUCAACAGUAGAGACCUUCAAAUUUCUAGGUUGUACCAUAUCACAAGAUCUAAAAUGGACAGCUAACAUCAAAAACGUCAUGAAAAAAGGACAACAAAGAAUGUUCUUUCUGCGUCAACUCAGAAAGCUCAAAUUGCCCAAGGAGCUGCUGAUCCAGUUCUACAGAGGAAUUAUUGAGUCUGUCAUCUGCACCUCUAUAACUGUCUGGUUUGGUUCUGCAACCCAACAAGACAGACACAGACUUCAGAGGAUAAUUAGAAUUGCAGAAAAAACAAUUGCUACCAACCUGCCUUCCAUUGAGGACCUGUAUAGUGCACGAGUCAAAAAGAGGGCUGUGAGAAUAUUUACAGACCCCUCACAUCCUGGACAUAAACUGUUUCAACUCCUACCCUCAAAACGACACUACAGAGCACUGCACACCAGAACAACAGGACAUAACAACAGUUUCUUCCCGAACACCAUCACUCUGCUAAACAAAUAAUUCCCUCAACACUGUCAAACUAUUAACUAAAUCUGCACUACUAUUCAUCUUCUCAUCAGGCUGUAACUUUCUUGCUUGUAUCCUUACAAUUUAUAUUGAUAUUGAUUGUUCCUGAUUGCUUAUUUGUAUCCUAUAACUAUCAUUAAGUGUUGUACCUUAGAAUUCUUGAUGAUCUUUUCUUUUAUGAAUACAAAAAGCAUAUGCAUGAAGACAAAUUCCUUGUGUUUCCAAUCGCACUUGGCCAAUAAAAAAUUCUAUUCUAUUCUAUUCUAUUCUAUUCUAUUCUAUUCUAUUCUAUUCUAUUCUAUUCUAUUCUAGUUGCAGAGCUGAGGAAGGCCCUUGGAGAGAUAUAGUUAGGAGGAGUAUCUACCACAUGAAUAGUUGGACUAAAGCAGUGCUUCUCAAUUAUUUUCUGUCAUGCCCCCCUAGGAAGAAGGAAACAUUUUUCGCGCCCCCCCGCGCGACUGUAAACACGGGGCUUAGCUUGUUAUGACAGUGUUUGCCGAGGUCAAACGCGCCCCCCUUUACGGAGCCUCGCACCCCCCCGGGGGGCCCGCCCCACUAUUUGAGAAGCACUGGACUAAAGAAACAGUUCUGCGUAUGCAUGUUCAUACGUUAAAGUAAUCAGCCCAAAAUAUAUAAUGCAGACACUAAACUGCUUCUUUAGCUACAUCAACAAUCAUAUUAGAUGGAGAUAAUUCAACUUUAGAUAAAUUAAGGAUAUUUUUAAGUUGAAGGCGCACAAGAGAUAUGUAACUACCCCACCAACACAUAGUAAUUGGAUUGAAAAUGUUUCUAUGUUUAUGUGUUUUGUCUUAAAGGAAAAAAAUAAAAAAAAAUACCAAAAAAACAAUGAAUUGUGACUUAACCUCUUUGGGACUGGAUGGUAGUCACAGAAAGACUUCUGGAAGUUGUUUUGAAGUUUUGAACAAUAGAAUAAUGUGUACAAGAUGCAUAAAUGUAAUAGUGAGCCAAACAAAAAUGCUUAUCUUGCCUCUAAACAGAGCAUAAACUAAAUACAGCUCAAAAAACUGAUUACUGAAAUAAUCCACAGAAUUCAUAUUAGAGUUCUCAUAUCAACCUAAGCUGAAAGACCAGCCGUUGUAGCCAUCUGUGACUAUAGUAGCAAUGUUUGAUCUAAGAGCUAAUUAUGUGCCUGAUGCUUUAGAGACGAUGCAACUCUCUUUAAAAUAGGAGAAGCACUAGGGCUGUGCAAUUGAAACUGAAAAUUCUGAGUCAAAAGUCAUUUUUAACCAACAUUACUGUAAGUGUUU